Molecule: ribosomal RNA, 121 nt
Filed under: Candidatus Bathyarchaeota archaeon ex4484_40
Lineage: Archaea; Thermoproteati; Candidatus Bathyarchaeota
Source: RNAcentral
CUUGCCGGUCAUAGCGGCCCGGGAAACGCCCGGACUCAUUCCGAACCCGGAAGCUAAGCCGGGCUGCGCCGGGGUAUUAGUGGGGUGCGGGAGCCCCCGCGAGCCCCCGGUGCUGGCAAGC